AUGAUUCCGAAAAUCAACUCACCGGAGUUGCUUUCACAAUUCAGACCGAUCAGUUUAUGUAAUGUGCUCUAUAAAAUAGCCACAAAGGUGUUGGCAAACAGAUUAAAAGGCUCACUUCCUCUUUUGAUCUCGCAG
RNAcentral lists this ribosomal RNA (135 nucleotides) under Triticum aestivum (bread wheat). RNAcentral's name for it is "partial small subunit ribosomal RNA". Lineage: Eukaryota; Viridiplantae; Streptophyta; Magnoliopsida; Poales; Poaceae. The record is from RNAcentral.